RNAcentral lists this ribosomal RNA (197 nucleotides) under uncultured Bacillus sp. Its description in RNAcentral is "partial 16S ribosomal RNA". It matches the Rfam family "Bacterial small subunit ribosomal RNA", at positions 335 to 524 of the family's 1533-position model. The record is from RNAcentral. Lineage: Bacteria; Bacillati; Bacillota; Bacilli; Caryophanales; Bacillaceae.
ACUCCUACGGGAGGCAGCAGUAGGGAAUCUUCCGCAAUGGACGAAAGUCUGACGGAGCAGCGCCGCGUGAGCGAUGAAGGCCUUCGGGUCGUAAAGCUCUGUUGUUAGGGAAGAACAAGUACCGGAGUAACUGCCGGUACCUUGACGGUACCUAACCAGAAAGCCACGGCUAACUACAUGCCAGCAGCCGCGGUAAU